RNAcentral lists this long non-coding RNA (1304 nucleotides) under Gossypium barbadense (sea-island cotton). RNAcentral's name for it is "long non-coding RNA (GBAR_LNC021997)". The record is from RNAcentral. Lineage: Eukaryota; Viridiplantae; Streptophyta; Magnoliopsida; Malvales; Malvaceae.
GUAGACAAUAAAUGGAAAAUAUAAAUAAUUAGAUGAAUCUUUUCAUCUUAAAAGCUUUGGAAGAGUUUAUCCUUAGAUCUGUCUGGUCAAGAGAGUUUCAAUCUUAGACUUUAAAUAUGGUCCAUAGAAUCAAGAUCUAGAAGGUUUCGGUCAUCAUCUGUUUUGUCAAGUUUCAUGGUAUAUAUCAAAUACAUGGGGCUGAAACAUUAUCCUCCUCUAAUGCAAUUGUGAGUAUUCACAAAUUUUCAGCCGAAGAUAUAUGUUAUCCCAUUACUAAUGCCUUGAAAUCUCCUUAAAAGGAUACAAAGUUUUUCACUUCUUCCCUUUUUUUUUUUUGUUGUUGAAUAAGAUAGUGCCUAACAUGCCUCAGCUAGAGCUAAUAUGGGAUAUCCGACCAACACCCACACCAUCAAUUAACAACUCCCCGCUAAUGGCGUAUCCAGCAGCUGCAGAGCAAACGAUCGCAUCUUGAAAUGUUUCGCCACAAAAUCCACUAUCUUGUUCACUUCCCUGCAGCGCAUGUCGGAUCUCUACAGUCCACUACCGACCAAGCAUCUGUUGCACUGAGUUUCAUAGAUUCCGCAAACAAUUCUCCUCUGGUGUACUGCUCUGUAGCAGGUUAAUGGCCUCCAAACUAUCACACUCUAGCUCCACAAGCCGAUACCCUUGUUGCCAAGUCAAGUGAAGCCCCUCAGCCACCGCCUACAACUCUGCCUGCAAAAUUGAACAGAGACCAUUAUUCCUCCCAAAUCUUACUCUCCAACUCCCCCACUCAUCCCGAUCAAUGACUUUCACUUUGAUCAUUAAUUAAUGGAGUUUUCCUAUUUUGGGGGAGCCAACAACCAUUCUUACCCCACUUCAUGCUUCUACUAUAAUCCAAUUUCUUUUACUUGAAAAUGAAGCACAGUGUAGAAAUGGUGGGGAUCUUUGCAAAUAGAAAUGGUGGCUAAAAUACUGUUCGGAACUGUGGUUACAGUUUUAAUCACAAAAUUAAAAGUGUUAAAACGUAAAGAUGCAUGCCGAAAUUGAUUACACAAUUCAACCCUAGUCUACUUUGCUCAGAGUAAUAAUCUACUAUCUUUCUUAUAGUACAACAAAUGAUUUAAGUUUUAAUAUUGGUUUAACUCUUACUAAUUUAGCGACCUUAUCGUUGUAUAAAGAUUAGAUCACUCUCUUACUAAGUUUUCUCCUCGAAAAUUUAGUUUUGCAAUACAAGAGACUCUCCUGAUUGCUUACAAAAAUAAUGCACACAUAAAACGUUCCUAACUUAGAACAAAUUUGUGCUCUAUCAAUCUCUUGGUCUC